GGGAUUGUAGUUCAAUUGGUUAGAGCACUGCCCUGUCACGGCAGAAGUUGCGGGUUCGAGUCCCGUCAGUCCCG
This 74-nucleotide transfer RNA is filed under the name Pediastrum duplex. Its description in RNAcentral is "tRNA-Asp". It matches the Rfam family "tRNA". Rfam says of the family: Transfer RNA (tRNA) molecules are approximately 80 nucleotides in length. Their secondary structure includes four short double-helical elements and three loops (D, anti-codon, and T loops). Further hydrogen bonds mediate the characteristic L-shaped molecular structure. tRNAs have two regions of fundamental functional importance: the anti-codon, which is responsible for specific mRNA codon recognition, and the 3' end, to which the tRNAs corresponding amino acid is attached (by aminoacyl-tRNA synthetases). tRNAs cope with the degeneracy of the genetic code in two manners: having more than one tRNA (with a specific anti-codon) for a particular amino acid; and 'wobble' base-pairing, i.e. permitting non-standard base-pairing at the 3rd anti-codon position. Lineage: Eukaryota; Viridiplantae; Chlorophyta; Chlorophyceae; Sphaeropleales; Hydrodictyaceae. RNAcentral also lists the same sequence under 3 other names. The record is from RNAcentral.